Molecule: long non-coding RNA, 15694 nt
Filed under: Nicotiana benthamiana
Lineage: Eukaryota; Viridiplantae; Streptophyta; Magnoliopsida; Solanales; Solanaceae
Description: long non-coding RNA (NBEN_LNC027098)
Source: RNAcentral
AGAGUAAGAGAUUAGACAUUUUGAAAAUAGAGAGAGAUACACUAAGAACAGUCAAAGAUUUUGAAAAUACUUAGAGCAAUAGGGAUCAAGUCUUAAGCAAUCUCAAGUUGAAAAACAUUCUGCAAAAGCUUGAGAGAUAGACAUUCAGAUACGCAAUAAGAGAGAGCUUGAUAUGUAGACAGAGAUUAAGACAGAGCUGGGUUAGCUUUUCUAUUAUUUGGUGGAUGGGAGUUAAUCUCAUUCUGAUUAGCUGUUGUGGUUGAUUUUACUGUUACAUUGCUGAUCUACUGGACUGUGUCUGCUGUUGACUCUUUACUGAUUUCCCAUUUUGAUUCCUUCUUGAUUUCGAGGUACACUUCUUUGAACUCUGUACAAUGUAAUGUCAAUUUGAAGCAUGAAUGGACAAGUUAAAGUGACCUCAUUUUACAAAAUGUUGGCACAGUUAGUUGUUUUACUAAUUUAAUUUGUAACGUAAACUAAAUAUUGUUUCUAUAAUGAACAACUGAAAUCUCGGAGUAGUGUUUAGUUUAGGGACUUUUUUAAAAAUGUUUUUUUUGUCAAGUAGUCAAUCAUAAUAGUACGCCAUAGCUCUGUUUUGCUGUUUCUUCGAGUCAUCAUUUAUGUUUGAAAAGGAUUGCAUGUUUGGUUGUUGUUAAAGAGGUUUGAAAAGGGUGAUGUUUAGUGUUUGUUGAUUCUAUUAGAUUAUAUAUGAGGUAGCUGGGUUGUUGUAUGGCUUGUGUUGGGUUUUGAAGGUCAAUUGUUAAUAGUUUGGGUAGAUUGAAUACCGAAAAGAAUGAGUUAGUGUUAAUUUGCCAUUUGUUUGAUCCACCGCCUACACAAUAUUUUUGUAAGAUUUAAGUGGUGGAUUGUCUCGUGAGCACAUGUAAUUGCCCCUCUGUUUUGGUCUUCAAAAGUGCUUGUGAAUUGUUUUAGGCGAAUCAUAUUAGACAUAGCAAAAAUUGAUUAUGGCACUACUAUAUUAACAUAGAAACCGUAGAAACCGUUAAGUAGAGUAUUUUGAGGUGUGCCAUGCCAAACAAAAAUGACAAAUGCGUGGCCUUUGGAUAUAAUAACUUUAAUACAUUUAGAAUUUGAGAUGUGUCAUUUGGCUAAUUUCAUGGCCCUCACAAAGUUAAGAACGCCUUAGUUCCUUUUAGGAGCGUUAGUUAAUAAUUUUACCUUCCUAAACUCGGUGUGCAUUUUAUGUGACCCAAAUCAAAUCUCAAAACGAUGUAUAAAAUGUGUUUAGGAUUGCGGGUGCAUUUCAUGUGACGCGAUUCAAAGACAUGUUUUAAACGACGAUCAAUAUUCCUUAAACAUUAAUAAAAGCUCUCGAAAGUUGAAAUUUGUACAUAGAAUCAGAUGUAUUAAAAUUAGAUAAUUAAGCCGAAUUUGACAGUUGAGCGAUCGUUCUAGAAUCACGGAACUCAGGAAUGCCUAAAACCUUCUCACGAGUUAAGAGAAUUCCUUAUUCGCAUUUCUGGUUUGCAGACUGUAAUACAGAGUCAACUUUUCAUCGAUUUGGGAUUCAACCAGUUUCUUGGGGCACCAUAAAUCUCCCAAUUGGCGACUCUUAAUGUAUUAAAAAUAAUCCCGUUUCGAUUGUUCUUUAAUUGGAAGAACAAUUUUAUACCUUUCGGGUGUGUAAAAAAGAAGGUGUGACAUUUUAUCCAUCAAACGACUAUUUAGGUUUGCGGCAUUAUCUGUGAUGAAAGUCGUAGGAAUGCCAAAACGACAGAUACGAUUAGAAUGCACAAAAUCUACCAUAGCUUCCUUGGCGACUGAUUUGAGAGUGAUGGCUUCAACCCACUUCGUGAUGUAAUCAAUGGCAACCAGUAUGAAUCUAUGCUCAUUUGAGGCUUUCGACUAGAUCGGCCCAAUGACGCCCAUGCCCCAAGUAACAAACGGCCAAGGUGCUGAAAUGGGAUGCAGUUCUGUUGGAGGUGCAUGAAUCAAAUCACUGUGCACCAGACACUGAUGGGACUUUCAGACAAAACUGAAAUAGUCCUUUUCCAUAGUUAUCCAGUAAUACCCCGCUCAAGGAUUUUCUUUGCCAAAAUGUACCCAUUCAUAUGGGGUCCGCAUACUCCUGCAUGCACUUCAUGCAUAAUUUUUCCAGCUUCUUCGGCGUCAACACAUCUUAACAAAUUGAGGUCCGAGGUCCUUUUGUACAAGGCAUUACCACUCAAGAAAAAACCACUUGCAUGCCGUCUAAUGGUUCUCUUUUGAUCUCCAGUUGCUUGCUCGGGGUAUUCUUGCAUUUUCAAAAACCUCUUAAUGAUAUGGUACAAUGGCUAGAUGUUUGGUUCUACCUCAACCGUAUUAAAAUAACCAUGUCUUUCCCUGAUUUGGAUUUCCAAUGGAUCAAUGUGAGCAUUGCCUGGGUAGGGCAACAUCGAGGCUAGAGUAGCAAGUGCAUCACUACUUCAUUGUGACACCGAGGGAUGUACCUGAACUCUAUUGACCUGAACCGAUUUCUAAGAUCCUCCACAUGUUGGCGAUAGGGAAGAAGCUUAACAUCCCAAGUUUUCCAUUCUCUUUGGACUUGCCGGAUAAUCAAUUAUGAAUGCCCCAUAAUCAAUGACACUUCAACGUCUUGGUGAAUUUCCAUAUUCAUUCCCAUUCCAAUGAUGCCCGCUUCAUAUUCAGCAUUAUUGUUUGUGCAGUAAAACUGAAGCCUAGCAGUGGCCGGGUACUGCUAAUCGGCGGGUGAGAUUAAUAUUGCCCCAAUUCCUACUACCCCUUUGGCGUUCACAGCCCCAUUAAAGAACAUUUUCCAAGCAUAAGUGUAUUCCAAGAUUGCAUAUAUUGUGUUUACCUCUUCAUCUGGAAAUAAGUGCUCAAUAGUUGGUAUUCCUCGUCAACCGGAUUUUCAGCCAGAUGAUCUGCCAACGCCUGAGCUUUCAUCGCCGUGCGAGUGACAUAGACUAUGUCAAAUUCAGCGUGUAGAAUCUGCAAUUUUGCUAACCUCCUUAUGGGCAUCAGCUUCUGGAAUAUGCAUUUCAAAGGAUCCAACCUGGUUAUGAGAUAAGUGGUGUGGGCAUGCAGAUAAUGUCUUAGCUUCUGAGCAACCCAAGACAAAGCACAACAGGUUCUCUCCAACAUAGUAUAUUUAGCUUCGUAACUGGUGAACUUCUUGAUCAGGUAAUAAAUCACCUAUUCUUUCUUCCGAGUUUUAUCGUGUUGCCCAAGAACACAACCGAAAUUGUUUUAUAAGACUGUCAUAUACAAGAAAAGAGGCCUCCCUGGCUCCGGUGGGACCAAGACUGGCAAAUUUGAAAGAUAUUCUUUGAUUUGCCGAAAUCUUCUUGACAUUCAUCUGUCCACUUGAUUGCUGCAUCUUUCUUUAGCAAAUUGAAUAUCGUCUUACAUAUGGACAUCAGCUGAGCAAUGAACCGACUAAUAUAGUUUAAUCUGCCCAACAAGAUCUUCAGAUCUUUCUUGCUUUCUGGAGGAGGUAUAUCCCGGAUAGACUUUAUCUUUGUUGGGUCUAACUCGAUACCUCUCCUACUGACUAUGAAACCUAGAAGUUUUCCCGAUGGGACUCCGGAUGCACAAUUGGCUAAUUUUAGCUUUAGUUCAUACUUGCACAAUCGCUCGAAGAACUUUCUCAUAUCUCGAACAUGGUCAUCCUGAGUUUGAGACUUGAUGAUUACGUCGUCCACGUAUAUCUCUAUCUCCUGAUACAUCAUAUCAUGGAAAGUUGCGGUCAUGGAUCUCAUGUAAGUCACCCCAGCAUUCUUCAGACCUAGUGACAUAACUUUUUAACAAUAUGUACCCCAGGUUGUGGUGAAGGCUAUCUUUUCUGCGGUCUUCUUCAUCCAUCAAAACCUGGUUAUAUCCUGCGUAACAAUCCACAAAGGUCUUUACCUCAUACUUGGCGCAGUUAUAAACAAGGAGGUGGAUAUUGGACAAAAGGAAAUUGCCUUUUUGACUGGCCUUUUUCAAAUCACUGUACCGAGUCUUUCCAUCUUUCUUUGGAACUGGGACUACGUUAGCCAACCAUGUUGUAUACGUGACUACCCAAAUUACCCCCGCUUUCAACUAUUUUGUGAUCUUUUCCUUGAUCUUAUCACUGAUGUCAGUUUUGAACUUUCUCUAUUUUUUGCUGUACCAGAGGGCAGUUGGGUAAAUGGGAAAUUUAUGAACCACUAGAUCACUACUCAACCCUGGCAUUUCAUCAUACAACCAAGCAAACACAUCUUUAAACUCAAAUAGGAGUUGGAUUAUUGCAUCCCGACUUUUCUCAUCCGUGUGAAUGCUUAUUUUGAUUUCCCGAAUUUUAUUACAAGUUCCCAAGUUAAUCGGCUCAGUAUCAUUAAAGUUUGGCUUAGGUUUAUUCUCAAAUUGCUCUAGUUCUCGAUUUAUUUCCCUAAUAGCCUAUUCUUCAUCAUAUUGCUAUUCUUGGUUCAUUAUUUCACAAUUAGACAGCGUGUUUGGAUCUGGGCAUGAUGUCCGCAAGUAUGUCAUGUUAUUUAAAGCCACAUUAUUAGAACUGAAAAGAAGAAAUGAAAGAGAAAAACAGCAAAAUCAGAAAGAAUAAAGAAAAAUGAAUGAUGAAAUAUUAAUUUCAUUUCUUGGAAUUUGAAGAUAACAAGGUUUAUAUUUGGAAAUUUAAAGACAAGAGACAAAUUAAAACAUCCAAGUUACACCCUGAAAUAACUUGGGAUGCAGAAAAAGUAGCAGGACAAGUCUACAGGGACUCCCGUCUGAUCACAAAUGGCGUAGCCUUCCAAUUGUGGAGCUUAGUGCAUGGUCCCAUGUCAGCACCUCAAGGGUGCUUGUGCCCUCUCCCGGCUGAACCAUGUGGGUUUCAUAUAGUAUCUCUCUCAUCGCCCCACAUAUUUCUUCAAUUUCUUAGCAAAAUCAGAAAGAAGAAAGAAAACUGAACGAUGAAAUAUUGAUUUCAUUUCUUGGAAUUUUGAAGAUAACAGGGUUUACAUCGAUAAAAUUAAAGACAAGAAUGUAAAGAAAACAUCCGAGUUACACCCUGGGAUAACUCGAGAUGCAAGAAAAAGUAGUAGAACAGGUCUAGCGAGACUCCCGCCUGAUUGGGAAUGGUGUAGCUUUCCAAUUCUGUAGCUUCGCAUUUGGCCACAUAUAUAGAACCUCAGCGGCGCUAGUGCCCGGUAACCAUGUGGGCUUUAUAUAGUAAUUUUCUCAUUGAGCCACAUAUUUCCUCAAUUUCUUCAGUCGUGAAAACAUCAUCACCUUCCUCUUUCCUGUACUUCGGCUUGACAAAGGUCUCAUACAAGUGUGGCAGUUGGUAGGACCCAUCCCUCUUUCUUUCUCUCAUUUGCCCACUAUGUAUCGUCUGGGGUAGGCAAGAAACCUAUCUCGAAGAACUUUUCAGUUUUAGGCAAAGUCACUAACUCAAAUAUUCAUGGUAAAGUUUUCCCAAGUCCCUUUCCUGGCUUGAAACCAUGUCAGAUCAUUUCCUUGGCCACUAUAAUCGAGGUGUUGGAUAAGAAAGGUUGGGGCCACGAAUUUCCCUCUUCAUGUUGGUUCGCAACCACAACUUCGAAAACUUGGUAAACUAUGUGUUCACUGCCUUCCCUCGCUUCCAGGCAUGGGACAAAUGUGUCCCUAUAGAUUGACUGUUCAUCCUCUCCAUGGAACACAAUCUCCUGGUCCUGAUGUUCGAAUUUUACCAUAUGAUGGAGGGUGGAAGCUACAUCUCUUGCGGCAUGGACCCAGGGCCUUCCCAGAAGAAAAUUAUAAGACGUGUCCAUGUAUAGUACUUGGAAAGUCACCUCGAAGUCCACCAGGCCAAUGAUCAUAAACAAGUUAAUUUCUCCAAUUGUGUCUCUUUUAAUUGCAUUGAACGAACGCGCGCAUACAUUGUUGGGAUGAAUCCUUUCAAUGACUUUUUCCUGCGUUGCAAUAUAAAGAUUGGGCAGAUUUCUACUCUAGAACAUCCAUAUUCCAUGACCCACUUCACAUAUUAUCCCUCACAUUUAACAGUUAAGUGCAGAUCCUUGUUGUCAGCAGCCCCCUCCGGAGGCAAGUCAUUUUUGCUGAAUGAAAUCUAAUUGAUGGCAAAAAAUCUUUCUGCCUUUAUUUGUAACCGUUCCAUGGAUGUUUCAGCUGGCACGUAUGCUUCAUUCAGGGUCUUAAUUAAAACUUUUUGAUGUUCAGGGGAUUUCAUCAACAAUGACAGGAACAACACUUGUUCAGGAUACUUUCACAGUUGAUCAACCACUUCAUAAUCAGCCAUCUUCAUUUUUUGAAUGAAAGGUUUCGCUUCCUCGGCACAUAUAGGUUUCUUGGCUGGGAAACACUUUUUAGAGGAAUUGUUCACUUCUUCUAUGUUAGAACACUUCUCAACGGCAUGAUUUUCUUGUGGCGCCCCUAAGAUAUCUUUGACUUUAUAUGUAACUACUAUUUUUUAGUAAUUCUAUGGCACCAUAGUCGGAUCUGUCAUAGGCUUUUGUGGCGUGCGUCCAAUAACCACGGGCUUGCUCGGCCACGAUGGCAUAAUUGUCCCUUGCACCACAUGAGCUCAUUUGGGUACGUACAUAUGGGAUCCUUUUCUUAGUUCAAAUAUAUUUGGAGGGCUCAAAGUUAGCUGAUUUUCUUCACGGCCCCGUGGGACAUAGAGAAUUCCCUUUUGGGGAGGUGUUGCCUUUGUUCCCGUUUCAACUUUCUUUUCUAGUUCCGUCUUGAUGACGUUGUUCUUCUUUUCCCCUUUAUAUUGCUUCGAGGUAACUUUUUUCUUUCUCUUAGCAUUAGCAAUUGCAAUUAUGGCCUUUAGUGCCGGUUCAAAUUAUUUUUCUUUGCAAAUCAUUCCAACCACUGCGACAUUGUUGUGGGUCGGCAAUGGGUUAUUCGUCAUACUGGGGACAUCCUCAUCCCUUAGCACUAUCUUUCCUUGAUCUAUCAAGUCUUCCACAACUCUUUUCAACGUGCAAUAUUUUUUUGUAUAAUGUCGCCCAGCUCCUGAAUGAUAAGCACACCAGACUCCCUGCUGAAAGGAGGGUAAUUCUGGGUAUUGCCUAUUUGGAGCUAUGGACUGCAACAAAUUCAUUUGAACAAGCUUCAGAAAUAGACUAUAGUACGGUUCACCUAUUGGUGUAAAUGUUAGUCUCCUGGUGAUUACCGAGGAUGAAAAUUAUUUUGUGGAGGACGUGGUUAUAGUGGUUUUGGUGAGGAUGGUAAUUUUUUUGAAAUUGAGCUUGGUUUCUAUUGGCAUGUUGUUGCGGUCUUACAAAAGGGUUAGCAUUCAUGACCGCAUACGGUUGAGGAGAAUAUUCCAUGUCUUGUUGAGGGUAAUAGUGCUCAGAGGUUCUUUCUUAAAACAAGGGUCUAGGAGUGUGAUGCUCCUGGCACCCGAAGCCGCCAUUGAUGUUUCUUCUUUCUUCUUACCCUUUAGCAUUCCACUAGACUGGCCUUGGAUGGCUUUGGAGGUUGCUCUAAUAGCCGAUUGACUCUGCAUUUUGCCAGCUUUUAGACCAUUCUCCACCAUUUCACCAAUUUUAAUAGCCUCCACGAAUGGUUUGCCCAUAGCUGACAUUAUAUUAUGGAAAUAAUCAGCAUUCAGAGCAUGAAGAAAUACCAUGCCCAUUUCCAUCUCAUCCAUUGGAGGAUUUACCCUUUACGCCUUUUCACGCAAUUUGAUUGCAUAUUCCCAAAAACUUUCAGAGGAUUUCAUUUCAUAUUCGCCAACAAGUUCGAUCUGGCACAAUGUCUAUGUUAUACUAAAACUGUCUCACAAAGUCUCUUCCGAAAUCAUCCCAAAUGUGCCAACGAGAAAUGUCCUUAUCCAUGUACCAUUCUGAGGUGAUACCCACCAAACAUUCCCCAAAGUAGGCCAUUAACAAUUCCUCCUUUUUGCCAGCCCUACACAAUUGAUUGCAGUACUUCUUAAGGUGAGCAAUAGGAUCACCGUGCCCAUCAUAUUUUUUGAACCUUGGAGUCUUGAAUUGCAUAGGCAAAUGCACAUGAGGGAUCAAGCAUAGAUCAGUAUAUGACACAAUCUUCUGCCUCUUAGAACCUGCAUGUUUUAAGGCUAUAUUCUAGUCUUCGCAUCCUUUUUUCCAUUUCAUCUUGUUCGGGAGUUUUAGGAGCCUUAUCCUGUCCCGUUGUGAACUCAAAUGGAGGUUUCUAAUGAUAAGUGUAAGUGGGCUACUGAGGAAGCUCAGUUUGGUAGUGGGUGUUUGGAAUGUGAAGGCCGAUGGAUAAAAAGUGGGUCUAGGCAGCAAAGGCUAUGUUGUGGCUGCACAUGGGGGAGCAAUAAAGAUAUUGGGGACAAUUACGGAUGGGAACACCUGGGGCCGAACCUCAGAAUGUGCUCCAACAAAUGAGCCGGUAUGAUGGUUUGUUCCAGUAAGAUGUUUGGAUGACUGAUGGGAAUAUUGGAGGUACCCUAUAACCUACGGAAGAGCUCGAGUUAUCUAGGGAUGACAACCGAAGGCUCCUUUACAUUUGUCCAUGCAUCCAACAUCUCCAUGACCUGAAGAAGCAGGAUCCUAUUUUCCUCGGCCGCUACAGACUCUGAGGCCGGGAUGCUCGAUAUUGGGCUAUCUUCCUAGAUGGGAAUUUCUAGAAAAGUCAUUUCAGACGACAUUUUUGUACUUCAUGUUUAUCUAGUAAAAUACCGAUGUGAUGCCAGCUUACCAAAACCAACCAUCGUGUCAAAAAACCUAAGCUAGACAUGACAAAAACAAACGGUUAGUUCGAGACAAGUAUCAGAUAGGGAAUCACACAUUGGGUUGUGAUGCACCUAUACAGUUAAACAGACGUAUAGAUGUUUGCAACGGUUGCAUGAGUCAUCCCAGAUUUUCAUUUCUAUUUUCUAUUCUUUUGAUUUCCGCUCUUUGUUUUUUCUUGCUUUUCUGUUUCUCAUUUAUCACAUGUUUCUUUUCUUUCCCUCUUUUCUUUACCUUCAUUCACACCUUCGAUUUUUUCUUCUCUCUCUUUUUAAUUCAUUCUUUACCUCUCUCGUUUUUUCUUUUAUUUUCUUACCUCUUUUUGUUUUUCUCUUAGUGUUACAGACGAAUAUUAUGGAGUUUGCCUAUGUAUUAUGACCCUGCAUGAAUCAGACCAAACGUAGUUUGUAAAAAAUAAAUGCAAAAAGUAAAGAAAUAAUUUUGGGAAUUUUCAAUUUUCUUUAAAAAACACGUCUACUACAAAAAAUGCUUAACUACUUGUCUUCUUGGAAAGGAAAACUACAGACCAAAAAUAAACAAAAUACAAACUCGAUGCUUAAUAGACCAAGAAUACAUUAAAGCUUAAAUUACUGGGAACCACGAUGCGUCAUUCGGCCUCGCUGCAAGCCUAUGUGAAAGACCCAUUUGUAGUUGCUCCAAAUCAUUAAUUAUCUGUUUCACAAAUGCCAUCACCGCCACCAAAAAGGUGCUGCGAGUCAUGUUCGCGCAUACAUGGAAUUUCCGAGUGGUGCGGUGAGAAAUAGUUAAGAUCCUCUUUCCUGUUACGCCUUUUUCUUGAAGCCAUCGCCCUAUCUGAUCAUUCCUGGCUUCCGAAACCCAGGAGUCACGAAGGUGUUGAAUUUGUAAUUGUUGGAUUUGCUCUUCCAUUUGGGCCAUCAAGUCAUAGCAAUUUUCCCUGUUGGCUUUGAAUUCUUUGGCUUGUUUGGGUGCUUUAUUUUCGAGGGUGGUCAUUUUUCUCUUCAAAUUAGCAAUGGACACUUCAUAAUUUCUCUUCAUUUCUUGCACAAAUUGGGGACAUUCUUCGGCUUUAUUUUCCCAUUGUGCUCGAAUUUUUGCUGAGUUACCCUCAGACUUUUCCAGAUCUUCCUGGCACUCGAUGACUUUCUUUUUUAGCCCACUUAUCAAACCUUUCAUCGGACCGACUUCUUUAUUAGUUGUUGGUAUCUAUUCUUAUCUGUACGAUUUGAGCAUUAAGAGCCUCAUUUUCUUGGGUCAAUUUCUUCUUUUCACCUUCAUCGGUGCAGCUUGCAAACUGUUUACAGACUAAAGAUCUCGGACCUGCUGUUCAAGCUCUCUUGUUCAGACCUUUAUUCGUUCUCCUUUUCUAACCAGACCCACUGUUCUUGUGAUGAUUCAGCAAAAUCCUUGAGGUGAGGUCUUUUGGCCAGCCAUCCAAAUGCAACUUCCUUUUUGUCCCAAGCAUGAUGCCCAGGUGACAUUUCUCCUUUAGAUCGACCCCGUAAAAAGGUAUUCACCGCGAAAUAUUGACAUUCGCUCCAAAUCUGGAGGACUCUCGCUUCAGGAAACUAGCCAUCAGGACCAAUCUCAACUACUUGGAUACUAAGAUCGUCAUCUUUUGGCACUAUUUGGCACCUCUCAAGUUGUCUCAAAACCCGAUAAGUCACAUAAGGUUGAAUUCUCUUAAGACCCAUAACGGGAAGUGCGGCCCCGCUGCUGGCAUAUAUAUGAUUUCAUCCACUGGUAACCAUCCAAACGUCCACUCUAUUGGACUUGUAGUGAGGGAACGAAAGUAUGAUGUCCAUCCCGUGAUCCCUUCUGGCAGGCUGGACCCCUUAAUCAUAGUAUAAAAUUCUUCUAUGCAAGUUUUCUUUAUUGACCGAUAACUUAGAAACUGAGGACGAUGGCACAGGUGUUCGGUCAUCCACAUUUGUAAUAAAAAAUUGCACCACUAAAAGAACUUUCAUCCGGCUUUACAUUCUGUAAGAGCGCAGAAGAUUUCAUCUACUAUCAUGGGAGUAAGACUAAUUUUGUCUUGAGUGAGUAAAGUGCUAACGAUCCUAUCUAUUUUAUGUCAAUAUUUCCACAUUUACUCGGGAAUACAAAAAGCCCCAAAAAUACCACCAUCAAAUCAAAACAUCUAUGUUCGUCCCAUUUUUGGCGGUUUCCUCUGCUACAUAUUUUUUUUUUCAGGUUGUUGAACCCUCCUAUAUGGCCAUAUCUCUGAUAUAGAAAGUGUAGAGUACGAAAUCCCUUUGCCAUAUACGUAUUGUGGACCAUUCGACUUAUUAGUGAGUCUAAGAAUCUGUGCACAACUACAGUUCUCGGGGCAACCAAGUAAUUGUGUCUUAAAGGAACCUCAGCACUUUCCACGUACCCGACUAUUUCUUCUAAGGUGAGAGUGAGCUCAAAAUCUGAAAAAUGGAACACGUUGUGCGCCAGGUCCCAACAUGUGACCAAUGCCCAUAUUAUAUCUCCUCGAGGCAUAAACACCAACAAACCAGUAGUACCUUUCAAAUAUCUCUUGACCUUGUCUUUCACUUCUCCACCUAGAUUGUUCCACCACAUACGCAACUUUAACGAUAUUUUGUUCAUGAUUGAGAAAGGUUCAUUUUGAAUCGUGUUAUUCCUGCUCAUUUAUUAAGGUGAUUUAAUCACUUAUUUUAACUUAAAAGAAACAAUGACACUAUAUUUCCAAAAUUUUAUUUUAAAACAAACAACUAGUUUUGCAGAUACAGCCUUUUAGCACUUCAGAAAGAAGAUUUUAAGGCUAUGCCCGUUAAUUGUUGAAAAUGACUCGAAGUGGCUGUUCUUGCAAAAAAAGCCUGUUUUAGGGAUAUUCGGCUAGUUGAAGCAAGAAUUACAUCACUCGACUUAUUUGUGAAAAAACUAAAAGUUUUGAUAAUUUUCCGCUGUUUUUGCAAAAGAGAAAUUGGACCCGAUGGGGUUGCCUAUGUAUCCCACAUGUGCUGAGAAUUAACUUGGUGUAGUUCGGGAAGUUUUGACAAAAUCAACUAUUUUCAAGACACUUCCUUUUCUUUUGUUUUCUAAAAAAAUCCAAUAGAGUUUCCGUACCAUUUGGGCAUUGGGCUUCUCAAAAGAGGUGACCAACUCACUCAACCCUCACACUAUAAUUCUUUUUUCUUUACUUUUUCUAGAUUUUCUCCUAUUAUUUACAAGUUGGUCAACAUGCAGAUCCGAAGCAAAUAAAUGCAUCAAAAGCUAGUAGGAUGCAUCAGGACGGUCAUUUUCAUUUCAAGUUACCUUUCCUAGACAGACUCAACCCCUGUGUUGAGUCCCAUUAGUCAAAUGCACGUAAUGCAAACAAAGGUUCCUACUAGGGAUCCAGUACGAGGUCAAGUUAUUCUAGGUUCAAAACGUACGUAUAUGUUCUAUACUGUGUACCCGAGCGGAAAACUCGAGUCGAAGAGGGGGAUACAUACCGGGAACCAAAAGGCCGUCUGCUUAGUAACUUGUCUGACCUCUUUCUUACUUUAAGGUAUGACACUAAUAGAAUAGGGAGUCUUGACUAGUGGGAACAUCCCCCAAGAUGAGAAGAGAAGCGUUUAGUUAUAAUUUAUAUAUAGAAAUUUAGAUAAUAUCAAAGUGGUAAAGCAUUUAGCACAUUUAGCAUGAAAUAUGUAGGAAAUCAGAUAAAGCCAGGUAUAAAAGUUAUUCUAAGCUCUUACUCCUAAACCUAACCGAAGUUCUGGGUUUGUCUCCCCAGCAGAGUUGCCAGAGCUGUUGCACCUCCUUUUUACACACCUACACUAAAGGAUAAUGUAUAAGAGGGUUUUUACAUUUUUAGUGACAUUAUUCGAAAUAUGAUUAUUUAUUUAUUUAGAGUCGCCACUUGGGAAAUGUUUGCAUUUUUGUGUCCCAAGUCGUGGUUUGUCUUGAAUCCCAAAUCGAGGAAAUUUUUCGACUUUCCAAGUAAAGUCUGCGAACUAUAAAUUCUAAGUAAGGAAUUCUGUUGACCCAAGGGAAGGUGUUAGGCACCCCUGGAUCCCGCGGUUCUAGCACGUUCGCUAAAAUUAUAAUAAAUGGGUAAAUAUCUUAAUACUUGUUUCUAUUUAAAGUGCAAUUUAAAUUACUUACCACUUUGAAUUAAUUUUUAAGGAAUUUGCAACAUUGCUAAAACACGUCUCGAACCACGUCACAUAAAUACACCCGUGGUUUUUUACAUAUUCCAACACCGUUGACAUUUGGAUUUUUGUCACAUAAAUGUGUACCCGAGUUUAAGAAGAUAAUAUUAUUAAUUGUCAGACUUAAAUCAACUAUAGUAUUACUAAUUUUGCGGGAGGUCAUAAAAUUUGCUAAGUGGCAAGUCCCGAGGUCUAAAUAUUUGUUAUAAAAGAUAAUUGGCGUAACGCAACUCGUUUUUGUAAGGUCAACCUAACUAUGAUUUUCUAUUAAGUAUUAUCUCUAAAAGGGUCUUAAUUAAUUAGCAUUAUUGAUUACUAUUAUCAAAAGCAUUUAAGGAAUUUGGGCCUCAAGGUCGAUCCACAUUUAAACAAAAGAAAAGCCUCUUUAGGUUAUUGGGUUGUCAUAUAAUUGGACUGACCAUCUCAAUGAAACAUCCAAACUUUGGACCCAAAAUGAGCCCAAUUCGAAGUGAGGAAAGAAUGAUCAGGGAUAUGAACCUGGCUACUCUUUAGUUGGGCCUAUGUUGAACUCAAUAUUUAUAGUCCAAGUAAGGUGACCCAAAGCUAAAUCAAUAGUAACAAUGAAAUGAAAAUCAACGACCUACUGAUAUAUUUUAAACAGAAUCUGAUAUAAAUUAAUGGUGAUCGAACCAAUAAACUCAAUCACAUUUUAUAAUAGUUAAAAAGAGAUUAUCAUAUUUACAGUUUUAACGAAGAAUAGGAUCAAGCUCAAUUUACAACCUAGCACUAGAUCUAAAAUUUUAAACUGCCUUUUACCCUCAGUUCAUAAAUUCUAAACAGCUCCAUUACAGAUAGAAAAUGAGAAUGACUACUUGUAACGACCUGACCCGUCGUACCGUACAUUUCUGAAUUGUUUUCCCUUUUUAUGCUGUUAUAUGUUUCAAUAUAUGUAUUUGGAGAGUUUGGAGUAAUUCGAAUGGAGUUUGGAUAGAAAUGAGACAAUUAGUCUCUUUAAGAGAUAGUUAGUUUGGAAAAGUCAACCGAACAUUGACUUAUAGUUGGAGGGCUCGGAAUGGAAUUCUGAUGAUUCGACAAGAGAAAGUUAGUUUGGAAAAGUCAACCGAACAUUGACUUAUGAGUUAGAUGGCUCAGAAUGAAUUUCUCAUGAUUCAACUAGCUUUGGAUGGUGAUUUUUGACUUAGAAGCGAAAUUAGAAGUGAAUUUGGAGGUCCGGUAUAGAAUUAGGCUUGAAUUGGCUAAGUUAGAAAUUUGGCGAAGUCCGGUCGAUAGGUGAGAUUUUGACCCGGGAGUCAGAAUGGAAUUCCGACAGUUGCAGUAGCUCUGUUAGGUGAUUUUUGAUACGUGUGCAAACUUUCAGAUCAUUCGGAGGUGAUAAGGUCGGGUUUUGGAGCAAAUGCAAGUUUCGGAUGUUUUAUUUAACUUAGGCUUGAAUCCGUGGAAGUUGGGUGAUUUUGAUGUUUAUGGUGGCAUUUUUAUGCUACGAGCACGCUUAAAUGGAGUAUUACGACACAUCUCUUCUAUUGGUCGAGGUCUCGAGGGGCUCGGGGUAAAUUCGGAGGGCCAACAAAGAGUUUUAACUUGAAAAUAUGCAGCAGAAAAAUGCAUUAGUAAUGUAGGCCUAUUUUGGCCUUCACGAUCGCGAAGAGAGGCUCGCGUUUGCGUAGAAUUAAUGGCCUAAAGCAUCGUAUUUGCGUACAGCAGGUCGCGUUCCCGUAGUGUUGGUAGGUGAAGCAUCGCCUUCGCGAUGGUGUUGCCGCAUUCGCGAAGAACAGUUGGAGGGUUAGCGGAAUUUGUUCAAUGCGAACGCGUGGCUUGGACCGUUUUCGCGAAGGGAUAAAUCUGGGCGACACAAGGGUCUUUAAAUGUCAAUUCAUUCGUGAACCAAAAACAUACUUUCCAUUAUAGUCAAGCAACCAAGGGAGCGUUUUGAGCAAUUUGAUGUGGGUUUUCAGCGGGUAUCGAUUGGAGGAAAGUCGCUUGACUUAAAAACAUUAUUUUUAGGAAGAAUCAACCUCAAUUUCCAUGACAUUGUGUAGAAAUUGUGAAGAACUAGGGCUUAGUAUUAGAAACGAAUUUUAGGGAUUUGAAGGGUCAAACGGACUCCGUUUUUCGUGAACUUUAUAUGUAUGGACUCGUGGCGAGAUGAGGAAUCCAAAGAUGUAAAUAUCAGAAUUUUUUGAGAAGUGCGCCCGGGGCUCGGGUUUUACCAACUUCGUGAUUUUUAACGUUUUUCGAAUAAUUUCAAUUGGGUAAUAUUUAUUUCGCUCGUAAUAACAUAUUCAUUGGGGUUUUGAAUAGAUAGGAUGCUCAUAGGAGAAUAGUUGAAGGGAAAAGGCAUUGCAGACCAGGCCACGACCGGUUAGAGGUGAGUAGUUUGUAUAGAUGAUGGCCUGAGGGUUUGAAACCCCGGCUUAUCACAUCGUGACGCCAGGCCACGACCGGUUAGAGGUGAGUAGUUUGUAUAGAUGAUGGGCUGAGGGUUUGAAACCUCGAUUGUCACAUCGUGAUGCUAUGUUUGGGAGUGACUCGUACCCCAUGGCAUGCGAGGGGUUGUUAAUGAUUGGGGAAUUGUGACAUAGUCCAUCCUGUGAUUAUUUGCGUCUGAUACGCACAUUCUGUUGUUGAUAAUUGGGCUUAAUGCCACGUUUGGGGUUUUGUGCCAAUCUGUAGUACCCGUCUAGGGUGAAUAUCUGUGUGAUAACAUGAUUGCAUAAUCAUUGAUCUCAGUCCUGUGUUUAAUCAUCAAAAUGAAAUGCUAAGUCACUUUUCUGAAGAUUUAAUAAUCAAACUAUAUUUUCCAUAAAAAUACGAAAAAUGAAAAUUUAGAUUGAAUCUGUUUAUGUGAAUAAUAUGCAUAUUGUUGACUGAGCAUGGGUCGGGCUACAUGAUCUGUAGCGGAUAUAUAUUGAUUUUGCGCUUGGGCUGAAGGAGCUCUUCCGG